Egretta garzetta (little egret) is the source of this 46-nucleotide non-coding RNA. The record is from Rfam. Lineage: Eukaryota; Metazoa; Chordata; Aves; Pelecaniformes; Ardeidae.
CCAACGGCUCUUUUAAGAGCCACCCACUUCUUUCUUAAAAGGGCUG